RNAcentral lists this ribosomal RNA (520 nucleotides) under uncultured bacterium. RNAcentral's name for it is "bacterial SSU rRNA". It matches the Rfam family "Bacterial small subunit ribosomal RNA", at positions 28 to 526 of the family's 1533-position model. The record is from RNAcentral.
GACGAACGCUGGCGGCGCGCCUAACACAUGCAAGUCGAACGGAGAUACCAGAAAGAUCCUUUCGGGGUGAAUUUUGACUAUCUUAGUGGCGGACGGGUGAGUAACACGUGAGCAACCUGCCUUACAGAGGGGGAUAACAUCUGGAAACGGAUGCUAAUACCGCAUAACAUUUUGAAACCGCAUGGUUUUGAGAUCAAAGAUUUUAUCGCUGUAAGAUGGGCUCGCGUCCGAUUAGCUAGUUGGUGAGGUAACGGCCCACCAAGGCGACGAUCGGUAGCCGGACUGAGAGGUUGAACGGCCACAUUGGGACUGAGACACGGACCAGACUCCUACGGGAGGCAGCAGUGAGGAAUAUUGGUCAAUGGGCGAGAGCCUGAACCAGCCAAGUAGCGUGAAGGAUGACUGCCCUAUGGGUUGUAAACUUCUUUUGUAUGGGAAUAAAUGACAUUACGUGUAGUGUUUUGUAUGUACCAUUAUGAAUAAGCAUCGGCUAACUCCGUGCCAGCCGCCGCGGUAACAC